Molecule: ribosomal RNA, 479 nt
Filed under: uncultured bacterium
Lineage: Bacteria
Description: bacterial SSU rRNA
Rfam family: Bacterial small subunit ribosomal RNA
Source: RNAcentral
GACGAACGCUGGCGGCGUGCCUAACACAUGCAAGUCGAGCGAGUGAAUCUCCUUCGGGAGUGAAGCUAGCGGCGGACGGGUGAGUAACACGUGGGCAACCUGCCUCAUAGAGGGGAAUAGCCUUUCGAAAGGAAGAUUAAUACCGCAUAAGAUUGUAGCUUCGCAUGAAGUAGCAAUUAAAGGAGCAAUCCGCUAUGAGAUGGGCCCGCGGCGCAUUAGCUAGUUGGUGAGGUAACGGCUCACCAAGGCGACGAUGCGUAGCCGACCUGAGAGGGUGAUCGGCCACAUUGGGACUGAGACACGGCCCAGACUCCUACGGGAGGCAGCAGUGGGGAAUAUUGCACAAUGGGGGAAACCCUGAUGCAGCAACGCCGCGUGAGUGAUGACGGCCUUCGGUUGUAAAGCUCUGUCUUCAGGACGAUAAUGACGGUACCUGAGGAGGAAGCCACGGACGUAACUAACGUGGCCACGCAGCCGAC